AACAAGGCGUACCUGCGGACCUGCGGAGGGAUCAUUAUAGAGUGUAAACUCCCUAACCUUUGUGAACAUACCUGUUGCUUCGGCGGUCCUCACCGGCCGCCGAAGGCCUAUAUUCUUGAAUUUACAUGAAUUUCUGAGUAUCAAACAAAAAUAAAUAAAAACUUUUAACAAUGGAUCU
Molecule: unclassified non-coding RNA, 178 nt
Filed under: soil metagenome
Description: partial contains 5.8S ribosomal RNA, internal transcribed spacer 2, and large subunit ribosomal RNA
Source: RNAcentral